AAGAAACCUACCUGCAAAGCUACAGUACUGUUAAAACAGGAAAUACUACAGAGCUGGUGGAUUUAUUUAUAUUAAGCCACGCUGACACAGGAAGAACAUGCAGAAAGGCCUCCUGUCGGGACUCUUGAACUCAGCUGCUUAAGCAUGAAUUAUGCUGUGAAGAGGUGAAGCCCAAAUGAUACAGACUCAGACAUGGAUGCAGCAGUGCCAGAACACCUGAAGCAUGGGACGUGCUGGGGCUUGUGGAUAUAAAAAAAUUGGCCAUAAACAACUUUCACAAACUCUAAAAACAUUU
Sinocyclocheilus grahami is the source of this 295-nucleotide long non-coding RNA. RefSeq lists it as uncharacterized. NCBI's taxonomy places the organism in Eukaryota, Metazoa, Chordata, Actinopteri, Cypriniformes, Cyprinidae. The transcript is spliced from 3 exons. The record is from RefSeq and is a predicted model, not a curated record.